Telopea speciosissima is the source of this 293-nucleotide long non-coding RNA. RefSeq lists it as uncharacterized. The transcript has 2 exons. The record is from RefSeq and is a predicted model, not a curated record. NCBI's taxonomy places the organism in Eukaryota, Viridiplantae, Streptophyta, Magnoliopsida, Proteales, Proteaceae.
CCUUUCUUCAUCUGCAAAUGACAACAUGGGUUUUCUGUUGAUUAUGAGAAUUUAGCUUUUUAAGGUAUCUACUAACUUCAGUUCUUAUAUUUGGCUUCUCACAUGAUGCUUAAUAUCAAAUACUCUACAUCCAUUAUUACCCAAAGAUUGGAAUCAGUGGAUAUUUCUGGAAAACCUAAUGCUGUUGUUCUAUGUGCUGUGAAAGGCCCAAGACCAAGAUAUCCACAAGUAUGGAAAACUAAGAAGAGAAUAGGCACUAUCUCCAAGUCGCAAAAGCUUGUUGAAUGUGUGAG